Long non-coding RNA from Solanum stenotomum, 666 nucleotides. RefSeq lists it as uncharacterized. The record is from RefSeq and is a predicted model, not a curated record. The transcript is spliced from 4 exons. NCBI's taxonomy places the organism in Eukaryota, Viridiplantae, Streptophyta, Magnoliopsida, Solanales, Solanaceae.
GAAAACCUAAAAAUUCCACCAUCAUCUUGGCUUCUCUUCCUUCUGUGGAAUUUUUUCUUCAUCAUCAAGUUAGAUUUUUUGAGAAUCUUCAUAUAAUUAAGCCCUUGAUGUAUUGGACGAGCCGACAUUCAUUGCACCCUAAAUGUGAGGUCUCGUUCAGUUUGGUGGUGAAAAUGGAAAUUAGGAAUUGUUCCCUCCAUUGACACUGGAGUCCUUAUUUGUAUGUAUUGGUCAAUGGGAACAUUUAGAUUUUCAACUUUGCUACUGAUCGAUAUACAAAGGAGAGUAGCAGCAUCAUAAUUAUUUGACAUACAUUCAGGUGUAACCAGUUGAAGUGCAGUAGAGAGUUUCUAUCUGAGAAGCGCCUCAAGCAAUGCAUGAUCUAUGUUCCUUGAAAAAUAUAGAGAAGGGAAAUGUAGGCUUCAAUAACAAAAGUCCAGCAAGCCAUUGUUGCUACAGAUUGUAUUCGUAAGAUUUUGGGAUUGGACAUCAGCGGUGGUACUAUGGUGGGAGAUGAUAUGUCAAGGGAUAUUAAAAUUGUGGCCACAAGUCAAUUCAAUCAAUUGAAGUUCAUGCAAACUUUUUGAAUAUUACAAUGUUAAAUUUAUAUUUUAAUUUGUGGAAUUCAUUGCUAGUGCACAUUUUGAAAUAUUAUUUUAUUACUAU